GCUUUCUAACUUCUUUUUGCAACUUCCAUAGUGUGUAAAUCACACUGAGCCCCAAGCUUCCUCGGACAAUCAGCUGGGAGUAAAACUUGGACAUUUUUAACAGGGAAAGUAUGUAUAUAGCUGGGCUGGAAAGAGCAGCAAUAAAGAUUGGUCCAAGAAACGUUCUUGGGACAACUCCAGGAAAUUCAUGGUGGUCAUACUUAUCCAAGUCCAGUUGGUGGUACACAACAUCAUGGAUAGCCUGUAGGUUAAAGCUUUCUUCCACUUUUGUAAAUGGGCAGACAGUUAAAUGAACAAAGGCCACAACAAUAAUCAACAACAAUAAUGGGAAUGACCGUCCACUUGAGCUCCUCUUCUGAGCCAUCUUGUGUACAAAAUUUGUGUAUGUUCACCUGGGCAGCGCCGCCAGCCGCGCAUGGGUCGGGGACCCGCAGCCGCUCCGCUCCUCUGGGCGCCCCUCCUUGCUCCCAGCGUCAGCUAUGGAUGCAACAGUGCCGCAGCGACCGAGUUUUACACCUCUACCCUCAGCGCCGCGCCCUGUCGCGCUUUGUCCCGUCCCGCCUCACGCUCACCCCCCACCCCCCGGGUCUCCACGUGGCCGCCCCGCAGAGGGCGCCGGCAGGACGGGACGAG
Molecule: long non-coding RNA, 633 nt
Filed under: Gallus gallus (chicken)
Lineage: Eukaryota; Metazoa; Chordata; Aves; Galliformes; Phasianidae
Source: RNAcentral